UGGCUAACUCCGUGCCAGCAGCCGCGGUAAUACGGAGAGGGCUAGCGUUAUUCGGAAUUAUUGGGCGUAAAGGGCGCGUAGGCGGAUUAAUAAGUUAAAAGUGAAAUCCCAAGGCUCAACCUUGGAAUUGCUUUUAAAACUGUUAAUCUAGAGAUUGAAAGAGGAUAGAGGAAUUCCUAGUGUAGAGGUGAAAUUCGUAAAUAUUAGGAGGAACACCAGUGGCGAAGGCGUCUAU
RNAcentral lists this ribosomal RNA (235 nucleotides) under uncultured bacterium. RNAcentral describes it as "partial 16S ribosomal RNA". It matches the Rfam family "Bacterial small subunit ribosomal RNA", at positions 494 to 728 of the family's 1533-position model. The record is from RNAcentral.